UAGGGAAUCUUCCACAAUGGACGCAAGUCUGAUGGAGCAACGCCGCGUGAGUGAAGAAGGCUUUCGGGUCGUAAAACUCUGUUAUUGAAGAAGAACGUGUGUGACAGUAACUGGUCAUGCAGUGACGGUAUUCAAUCAGAAAGUCACGGCUAACUACGUGCCAGCAGCCGCGGUAAUACGUAGGUGGCAAGCGUUGUCCGGAUUUAUUGGGCGUAAAGCGAGUGCAGGCGGUCUUUUAAGUCUGAUGUGGAAGCCUUCGGCUUAACCGAAGAAGGGCAUUGGAAACUGGGAGACUUGAGUGCAGAAGAGGAGAGUGGAACUCCAUGUGUAGCGGUGAAAUGCGUAGAUAUAUGGAAGAACACCAGUGGCGAAGGCGGCUCUCUGGUCUGUAACUGACGCUGAGGCUCGAAAGCGUGGGUAGCAAACAGGAUUAGAUACCC
Molecule: ribosomal RNA, 440 nt
Filed under: uncultured bacterium
Lineage: Bacteria
Description: partial 16S ribosomal RNA
Rfam family: Bacterial small subunit ribosomal RNA
Source: RNAcentral